RNAcentral lists this ribosomal RNA (1372 nucleotides) under uncultured bacterium. Its description in RNAcentral is "bacterial SSU rRNA". It matches the Rfam family "Bacterial small subunit ribosomal RNA", at positions 28 to 1381 of the family's 1533-position model. The record is from RNAcentral.
GAUGAACGCUGGCGGCGUGCCUAAUACAUGCAAGUCGAGCGAACGGACGAGAAGCUUGCUUCUCUGAUGUUAGCGGCGGACGGGUGAGUAACACGUGGAUAACCUACCUAUAAGACUGGGAUAACUUCGGGAAACCGGAGCUAAUACCGGAUAAUAUUUUGAACCGCAUGGUUCAAAAGUGGAAGACGGUCUUGCUGUCACUUAUAGAUGGAUCCGCGCUGCAUUAGCUAGUUGGUAAGGUAACGGCUUACCAAGGCAACGAUGCAUAGCCGACCUGAGAGGGUGAUCGGCCACACUGGAACUGAGACACGGUCCAGACUCCUACGGGAGGCAGCAGUAGGGAAUCUUCCGCAAUGGGCGAAAGCCUGACGGAGCAACGCCGCGUGAGUGAUGAAGGUCUUCGGAUCGUAAAACUCUGUUAUUAGGGAAGAACAUAUGUGUAAGUAACUGUGCACGUCUUGACGGUACCUAAUCAGAAAGCCACGGCUAACUACGUGCCAGCAGCCGCGGUAAUACGUAGGUGGCAAGCGUUAUCCGGAAUUAUUGGGCGUAAAGCGCGCGUAGGCGGUUUUUUAAGUCUGAUGUGAAAACCCACGGCUCAACCGUGGAGGGUCAUUGGAAACUGGAAAACUUGAGUGCAGAAGAGGAAAGUGGAACUCCAUGCGUAGCGGUGAAAUGCGCAGAGAUAUGGAGGAACACCAGUGGCGAAGGCGACUUUCUGGUCUGUAACUGACGCUGAUGUGCGAAAGCGUGGGGAUCAAACAGGAUUAGAUACCCUGGUAGUCCACGCCGUAAACGAUGAGUGCUAAGUGUUAGGGGGUUUCCGCCUCUUAGUGCUGCAGCUAACGCAUUAAGCACUCCGCCUGGGGAGUACGACCGCAAGGUUGAAACUCAAAGGAAUUGACGGGGACCCGCACAAGCGGUGGAGCAUGUGGUUUAAUUCGAAGCAACGCGAAGAACCUUACCAAAUCUUGACAUCCUUUGACAACUCUAGAGAUAGAGCCUUCCCCUUCGGGGGACAAAGUGACAGGUGGUGCAUGGUUGUCGUCAGCUCGUGUCGUGAGAUGUUGGGUUAAGUCCCGCAACGAGCGCAACCCUUAAGCUUAGUUGCCAUCAUUAAGUUGGGCACUCUAAGUUGACUGCCGGUGACAAACCGGAGGAAGGUGGGGAUGACGUCAAAUCAUCAUGCCCCUUAUGAUUUGGGCUACACACGUGCUACAAUGGACAAUACAAAGGGCAGCGAAACCGCGAGGUCAAGCAAAUCCCAUAAAGUUGUUCUCAGUUCGGAUUGUAGUCUGCAACUCGACUACAUGAAGCUGGAAUCGCUAGUAAUCGUAGAUCAGCAUGCUACGGUGAAUACAUUCCCGGGUCU